UACGAAGGGGGUUAGCGUUGUUCGGAAUUACUGGGCGUAAAGCGCGCGUAGGCGGUGAUCUUUGUCAGAGGUGAAAGCCCGGGGCUCAACUCCGGAAUUGCCUUUGAAACGGGAUUGCUUGAGUCCGAGAGAGGAUGGCGGAAUUCCUAGUGUAGAGGUGAAAUUCGUAGAUAUUAGGAAGAACACCGGUGGCGAAGGCGGCCAUCUGGCUCGGUACUGACGCUCAGGCGCGAAAGCGUGGGGAGCAAACAGG
RNAcentral lists this ribosomal RNA (253 nucleotides) under uncultured bacterium. RNAcentral's name for it is "partial 16S ribosomal RNA". It matches the Rfam family "Bacterial small subunit ribosomal RNA", at positions 524 to 776 of the family's 1533-position model. The record is from RNAcentral.